Molecule: unclassified non-coding RNA, 342 nt
Filed under: Hevea brasiliensis (rubber tree)
Lineage: Eukaryota; Viridiplantae; Streptophyta; Magnoliopsida; Malpighiales; Euphorbiaceae
Source: RNAcentral
AUUAAAGCAUUUGAAUCAGAUAGAGUGUUUUCUGGAUGUGAAAUGUAACUGUUGCUGGUCAGAUAUGAUGAAGGUUUUGCAAGCCCGGCUGAUUUUGCUGCCUCAGCAGCAAAUGUAGAGAGCACGGACGACAUGAUAUACUGAGAGGAGCUAGAAGCUGUAAGCUUGUCAGCUACCUCGGCUGCGAUUGCUGCAGCUGUUUUCUUGCUUGUUUCUCCUGCUUUUCCAUAGAUGUCUGGUGAAGUUGUUGUACCCAAAGGCUUUCUUUCUCCCACAUAAUCUUCAUCAUCCAGAUACUUCCGCAUGUUGCUGGCUUCCCCCGCCUGUGCUUCCGCCACCUGU